UUGUGAAGAUAUCUCCUAACUGCUUUCCGGUUUUGACAUGUCCUGUUGAGAUAAUCUUCUAUUGAAUCUUUUUUCAAAGGAAGUGACAAUCAAUUUCAAUAUGCUUAGUACGCUCAUGAAACACUGGAUUUGAGGUGAUAUAGAGAGCGGUUUGAUUGUCACACCAUAGUUUGGUAGGAGAUGAGGACUCAAAACCCACUUCUUCUAAUAACUGACGUGUCCACAUUACUUCACACACAGCUCGAUAUUCUAAUUCAGCACUCGAACGAAAAACUAUAGUCUGUUUCUUACUUCUCCAAGAUACUAAGUUUCCUUCAACAAAGAUACAAUAUCCUAUAAUGGAUCUCCUAUUAAUCUUUGAACCUGCCCAAUCAAUUGUCAAAUCAGUUCCAAUGC
RNAcentral lists this unclassified non-coding RNA (396 nucleotides) under Hevea brasiliensis (rubber tree). The record is from RNAcentral. Lineage: Eukaryota; Viridiplantae; Streptophyta; Magnoliopsida; Malpighiales; Euphorbiaceae.